Molecule: ribosomal RNA, 429 nt
Filed under: Chloroflexota bacterium
Lineage: Bacteria; Bacillati; Chloroflexota
Description: Chloroflexi bacterium partial 16S ribosomal RNA
Rfam family: Bacterial small subunit ribosomal RNA
Source: RNAcentral
UAGGGAAUCUUCGGCAAUGGACGAAAGUCUGACCGAGCAACGCCGCGUGAGUGAAGAAGGUUUUCGGAUCGUAAAACUCUGUUGUUAGAGAAGAACAAGGACGUUAGUAACUGAACGUCCCCUGACGGUAUCUAACCAGAAAGCCACGGCUAACUACGUGCCAGCAGCCGCGGUAAUACGUAGGUGGCAAGCGUUGUCCGGAUUUAUUGGGCGUAAAGCGAGCGCAGGCGGUUUCUUAAGUCUGAUGUGAAAGCCCCCGGCUCAACCGGGGAGGGUCAUUGGAAACUGGGAGACUUGAGGGCAGAAGAGGAGAGUGGGAUUCCAUGUGUAGCGGUGAAAUGCGUAGAUAUAUGGAGGAACACCAGUGGCGAAGGCGGCUCUCUGGUCUGUAACUGACGCUGAGGCUCGAAAGCGUGGGGAGCAAACAGG